GCCACUCGUUCUACCUCCAAUAAAGCAACUCCAGCAUCUCCAGCUACUGAUAAAUUAGAUUCAACAUUAUCAUUUUCCUCAGCUCUCUCAGUAUUAGGUGCAUUAAAAAUCGAGCUAUUUGAACUCAACGUGGAAAAAAGUGAGGCCGAAGCAGGAAUAAUCCCAAAACUACUACUGUAAUUGAAUGGUAUGAAUCUCCGGU
This 202-nucleotide unclassified non-coding RNA is filed under the name Hevea brasiliensis (rubber tree). The record is from RNAcentral. Lineage: Eukaryota; Viridiplantae; Streptophyta; Magnoliopsida; Malpighiales; Euphorbiaceae.